Ribosomal RNA from Plasmodium reichenowi, 391 nucleotides. The record is from RefSeq and is a predicted model, not a curated record. NCBI's taxonomy places the organism in Eukaryota, Apicomplexa, Aconoidasida, Haemosporida, Plasmodiidae.
GAAACCAUGCUGAUUAGACAAUUCUAAAUUUGAUCUUUUUGUUUAAAUAAAAAAAUAUUAUUAUUUUUUUUUACUGCUAAUGUAAAAGAGAAAUUAUACAUAUAUUAGAAAAAAAAAAUGUAAUUAAUUGUUUUUUUUUUUCGUUUUAUAAUAUAUUAAAUAAUCCUAUCUUUUUAUAUAUAUAUAUAUAUAUAUAUAUAUAUAUAUAUAUAUAUAUAUGUAUAUACAUAUAUAUAUAUGUGUAUAUAUAUGAAUAGAUUGUAAUUUAACAACAAAAAGUAUUAAGCCCCAAAUCGUAGACGACUUUUCUGUCUCAGAGUGCUGUAAACAUGAGAGUAAACUUUGUUUUACGAUCUGUUGAGGUUUAUCUCUUGUGGCAUUGAGCUAAUUU